UACGUAGGGUGCAAGCGUUGUCCGGAAUUAUUGGGCGUAAAGAGUUCGUAGGCGGUUUGUCGCGUCGACUGUGAAAACCCGAGGCUUAACCUCGGGCCUGCAGUCGAUACGGGCAGACUAGAGUUCGGUAGGGGAGACUGGAAUUCCUGGUGUAGCGGUGAAAUGCGCAGAUAUCAGGAGGAACACCGAUGGCGAAGGCAGGUCUCUGGGCCACUACUGACGCUGAGAAGCGAAAGCAUGGGGAGCGAACAGG
RNAcentral lists this ribosomal RNA (253 nucleotides) under uncultured bacterium. Its description in RNAcentral is "partial 16S ribosomal RNA". It matches the Rfam family "Bacterial small subunit ribosomal RNA", at positions 524 to 776 of the family's 1533-position model. The record is from RNAcentral.